This 466-nucleotide ribosomal RNA is filed under the name uncultured bacterium. RNAcentral's name for it is "partial 16S ribosomal RNA". It matches the Rfam family "Bacterial small subunit ribosomal RNA", at positions 28 to 507 of the family's 1533-position model. The record is from RNAcentral.
GACGAACGCUGGCGGCGUGCUUAACACAUGCAAGUCGAACGGAAAGGCCCUGCUUUUGUGGGGUGCUCGAGUGGCGAACGGGUGAGUAACACGUGAGUAACCUGCCCUUGACUUUGGGAUAACUUCAGGAAACUGGGGCUAAUACCGGAUAGGAGCUCCUGCUGCAUGGUGGGGGUUGGAAAGUUUCGGCGGUUGGGGAUGGACUCGCGGCUUAUCAGCUUGUUGGUGGGGUAGUGGCUCCAAGGCUUUGACGGGUAGCCGGCCUGAGAGGGUGACCGGCCACAUUGGGACUGAGAUACGGCCCAGACUCCUACGGGAGGCAGCAGUGGGGAAUAUUGCACAAUGGGCGGAAGCCUGAUGCAGCAACGCCGCGUGCGGGAUGACGGCCUUCGGGUUGUAAACCGCUUUCGCCUGUGACGAAGCGUGAGUGACGGUAAUGGGUAAAGAAGCACCGGCUAACUACGUG